RNAcentral lists this ribosomal RNA (445 nucleotides) under uncultured bacterium. Its description in RNAcentral is "partial 16S ribosomal RNA". It matches the Rfam family "Bacterial small subunit ribosomal RNA", at positions 354 to 796 of the family's 1533-position model. The record is from RNAcentral.
GUGAGGAAUAUUGGUCAAUGGGCGGGAGCCUGAACCAGCCAAGUCGCGUGAAGGAAGAAGGAUCUAUGGUUCGUAAACUUCUUUUGCAGGGGAAUAAAGUGCAGGACGUGUCCUGUUUUGUAUGUACCCUGAGAAUAAGGAUCGGCUAACUCCGUGCCAGCAGCCGCGGUAAUACGGAGGAUCCGAGCGUUAUCCGGAUUUAUUGGGUUUAAAGGGUGCGUAGGUGGUUUGAUAAGUCAGCGGUGAAAGUUUGCAGCUUAACUGUAAAAAUGCCGUUGAAACUGUCGGACUUGAGUGUAAAUGAGGUAGGCGGAAUGCGUGGUGUAGCUGUGAAAUGCAUAGAUAUCACGCAGAACUCCGAUUGCGAAGGCAGCUUACUAAGCUACAACUGACACUGAAGCACGAAAGCGUGGGGAUCAAACAGGAUUAGAUACCCUAGUAGUCC